Molecule: non-coding RNA, 15107 nt
Organism: Gasterosteus aculeatus aculeatus (three-spined stickleback)
Lineage: Eukaryota; Metazoa; Chordata; Actinopteri; Perciformes; Gasterosteidae
Source: RefSeq, a predicted model, not a curated record
GCUUUGAAGAUAUGUCAUCGCAUAAUGAGUCGCUUUUUUUCUCUUAUAUUUCAUGCUUUUCUAUUUCCAGUCCCUGGCUCUCUGCUGCCAUUUGCCCAUAUGCCUUAGCGAUUUAAUGAUAUGCAAAUGAAAUAUGCAUAAAACCAUUCUGCUGUAGGAUGAUUAAGCACAGAGGACAUUAGCCAGUGCCCACCACAGUGUCUGCUGUCUCCUCUGCAUUCCGCUUCGGCCGGGCGCCAACAACACCGUUCUAAUAAAGAUCAAUGCUGCUAAUGCGCUAAUCAUUUCAAUAAGACAAAUAAUAUCCAAGUGAAAGUAGAUUCCAAGAUGGUCUUCUCGCUCCAGUUUUGUAAGAUCCAGAACCAGGAAAGGCAGAUGUCUCCAUAUGCGAGAGAUGGUGCUCUGGAGAGCAGGCAGGGAGCAAAGACACCAAUGCAGGAGCUUUUCUCUGCUUGUUUGUGAGUACUGUGGCAUUAUUUGACUACUGGCAUAUAACGAAGGAAGAAAAAUAUCCCCAAUCCUGCUUUCCCUCUCUCUCUCUCUCUCUCUCUCUCUCGCUCUCUCUCUGACACACACAUAUACACACACUCCACCCCCCAUUCAAUUCUGCUCUCUCGUUCAAGCCCUUUUUUUUGUAAUCCAUUUGUGUAAUGAAGAUGCUGCACAAUUAACAUCCCCCAUGGAAUUAAAUAAAAGGGUGAUUAUCCAAAGUUCAUUAGCUCCAAACGAUUAGCAUAUCCACGUGUCUCCACUUGAUCGUUAUGGAAAAAAUGCAACAUCAAUUAUAAAUUUAGAUUCAUCGUAAUUCGUCUUUGUUGCGAUCGCGAUUUUUGCAUUUGAGAUGCCCGAAAAGAUGCCAUCUUUCAAUCGGUCCAUCCUCAGUGGUGGAUUCAGACAUCUUGGUAGUGCCAUGGCUGGGCAGCGAGCACAAAGAUGUUAUAAUCCCUCCUCUUUGGAAGACUUCCUUGAUUAUUCAUAUUGUAAAACCAUGCCUCUUGUCCAAAGAAAUCCAGGAGAAAAAAAGAAAAGUAAAAUAGUUACUGUUGGAUGAACAUCCCCGCGUGGCUAAUUACUGUUUUAAUUCCGAUUGUACGUUUUAAUUAACAACGAACUUAAUGAAGCCUCCGUUGUGCGUCUUUGCAGCGAUGCCCAUCCUUGGCUCUGUGCCCAACGCCAGCAGACCUCUCGGGAACAACAGAAUCGUUUCUCCGGACCCAGAGACUCCCGGAACCGCAACUCCAACCAGUUGUCAUCUCAGUGGGAUGAGACCAUCCUGAUAUUCCAAGGAGAAGAGCUGCUCACCUCACCAGGCCCGUGACUCUCAGGCGUCUCAGGUAAAUAUCCGGGUUUAAUGACGAACAGGAAGAUUAGCCACUUAUGUUCGCUCUCGAUUUCAAUGAGCGCCAGGAAAUUGGCUGGUGUUUGGGGGUUUUCUGAACAGCUUAUUCAAUGCAGACGCACUUGAUGAGCUUGGUGCGGAGUACAGAGAGGCCAGUAUUGAUUGUGCUCAUUGUGAAUUAUGUGAAUAGAUAAAAAUGUGAGUGUGCAUAUAUAUUAGGCAAUUAUGCGCUCAGGUGCUAAAGUAAAAAUUCUGCUGAAUAAAUAUGAAAUAUGCCUCUAUCAGCAUCCAACUGUUGUUCCCUCGCACUAGUAAUUUGAGACAAUAAUUGGGAAAGCAUGUUUGCCUUUUUCUGAUGAGAUAUUAUGAUAGCUCUCUGUAGCCUGGAUUUAAAUCUGUAUUGAUCAUCGUCGGUCUCAGGAGCUCGAAUCCAAACAGCAGUACAGCUCCUGCACGGUUUCCUAUAUUUCUCUCUUUGAUUUGCAUGAUUAUUUUAGAGAAAUCUCACAAUUCAAGGACAUUAAAUGUCAGAUAUUGUGUAACAUAAGACGCUCGUUUGUGUUUGUUCUCGCCCUCUUUUCCAGUAGUAGUGUGCUAAUGUCAUGAUUUAAAUGAAGUAUUGAUCAGUUUAGGAGGGGAGAAUAGAGAGAGAGGGAGCGAUUGUGAGGGAAAGAAAGCAAGACCAGGGUUAUCGGUGUGGAUCGCAUACAGAAAGAGAGUGCUAACGGAUGAGACACGUUUUAAGUGAUUCCGCGAAAUGGAUUUCUGUAUAAUCUGUGUUUUUAAUUCAGGAUUGACCGCCAGCCUCUUUUGUUUGACCCAUUCCGAGAAUCAAAACGGACACGGAGAUAACACUGUGCCUUGAACAGCGCAAGAACGGAAAUAACUCUUUUUCACUCUUGUUUUUUGUUAUAUUAUUUCAUCGAGUGUUUGCCAGCCUGUUUGACGAUGGUUAAAUCAGGCUUUGUUCCUGUCCGGGUCUCCAUCUUCUCUGGUUAUAAUUCCUUCUGUAAGGACGCCACUGCAUCGGGCAUACUGGAUUAAAGGCUCCGUCCAGGUGAACCAGCUGGACAUCCAGGAGAAAGGAUCUCUCAGUUGCUGCCUGAACUGCAGGAGAGUCGUCUGGAUCUCCGGAGGAACAGAGUCGCAUGCAGCAAAACCAAAAGCAGCUUCAGAGCCAGACUCAGCAGGCCCAGGAGCUCCAGAGUCAGGUGCUGCAACCAAUUGCCACCUGGCAUGGGGGCACACCUGCAGCCCAGCAGCCAGGUCAGAAGGGACAUACGUGGAGAGGGCCGAGAAGCAGGAGGAAGAGGAUUAACGGAACAGCAGUUUGGGGGAAACCAGCGGAGGAGGAGAGAAGAACGAAGACCUCUCAAAUGGCUUGAGAGAAGUCCCUUUGAACCCGAGGAGGGAACAUGGGAGCUGGCGGGCCGCCACUCAGAGAGUCGAUCUGUGUUUGGCUCACAGGGGAGAGAAAGAAUAGAGGGGACACGGAGUAUAUGGAAGCCAGCAACGCAACCAGUACAAGUGGAAGAGCUCCUCAGUGCGCCACAUAAGACUCACCAGAGAACGUCAUUCAAAUCCAAAGAGAUGGGUCAGCAGACAGAAGAGCCAGACUGGAAGAGAAACAAAACUUACUGGGGUUAAGCUAAGACAACAUGCAGUGAUAGAUGAGGAAACACGAUUUUCCAAACACCUCGACGGGACUCCACAGGUUGGAAUGCAGGCAGAGGUUCACACAGAGAACGGACAUUAUAAGCUGCGGUUGCCUUGGGUUGUAUUCACACCUUGACGCUCCCCCGGCCUCUCCAUGUUAUUGUGUGCUCACUGUGUUUUCUUUAAUUAUGUAGUGCGAGAGUUGGUUCAAUUUCACACUUCCACAAACAUGCAACUAAGGCGUCCUGAUAAGUGCGAUUCACUGAACUUUAAACGUGUGUGUAGUGUGUGUGGGAAAGCAUGCAUGUGUGUUUUGUGUCUCUGUGUCAUCAACUGGAGCCGUGUUUCAGUAACUGCUCACGGACAUAGAAUCCCAUUUAGCAUUAAAUGUAAAAAAAAACCCGAUUUGUGUCACUGGUUAUUUUAAUAUUGUUGUGUCCUUUUAAUCUUUUGUUUGCAUGUCUCUCUGUUUGCACGUGUCACUGGCGGUAUUGACACCGGACCUGUUGAUCCUGGGGUGAAAAAUCAGAAGCUUCAGAGGCCGAUAACAGCUCCAACACAAAAGUUUCUUUUGCUGGAAAGGGGUUGCCAGUCGUAACAAAACAGUCCUACCCGAUGAGAAGCGGUAACCAAGAUCUUGGUCCUCAAAGUAGUUUUCCUCAUUUAUUGUUGAUUAUUUUAUCUGAUCUAAUCUUACCACACUCUGCUCUGCAGCUGCCAAUCUGCUGUUUGAUCCUCUCAGAGAGCUACAAUCUCUGUGUCAAUGUGAGGUUGUAGGUGGUCAGAAAAAGUAUUGCAACUUUUCCCGAAAAGUACCCGAAGGCGUUCAACAAAGUUAUGCUUACCUUCAAAUACAUCUAUUCUUCAGGCCUAACCGAAAAAUGAGAUGUAUUCUCUUGAACCCUUUACCUACACAACUAGCAGCCAUAAAGCACGAUUAUCAGUCAUGUGGAGUUUCUUGCCACCUGAGAAUAAUACCAACAUUCACUGUCCUUAGCUAAGGUUUGGUGUCUGCUGACUCCUGGGUGAAAUAUCUGUCUCUAGCUGCUAAAUGCUCUGUUGUUGUCACUUUGUUGAUGACUUUGUCUGGUUGCUGUUCAGUGGCCUUUUAGGCCCUUAGGCCCACUGGUUGCUCUUUUGGUUUUCACAUACCUGUAGUAGUAUGAUCCAUACAGACUAAGAAACCUUUGUGCCCUGAGUCGAAUGAAUUCUAUUCAACAUGCGACAGAAGCGAGCCUCACAAGGGUGGUCACGCAUGUCACGCUUCCUCAAGGUGUCAAUUUGUAUCAUUACAUUACAGCAAGCUUUUCUUGGCAUGGCUCAUUUGUUAUAAUCUUGUUUUUGCACCUUCAUAAUAUAGUUUUUUUUUUAAUUAGCUGAGAUUGAUUAAAUUGCAUUGAUUCUGUAUCCUUAUUAAAUUCUCUCCCCUCCCUCCACAUCCCCCUUUCCUUCCUUAUUUGUCAUAAUUACCGUGUGCCUUUGGAGGAGGCACCACAGCGUUACACAUUUUGUAAAUCAAGGCAAUGGUUAGAAUAAUUCAUUGCAGUUGCUGUCAAAGAGCUGCACAUUGACAGGGAUUUUAUGAGUUUCUGCAGGUAUGAUUUGAUGAGAUUUAGAUAUGUGAAAGCACUGUUGCUGAAAAGACCAGAAAAUUAGAAAAUGAGCUGAGUCCCGGUUCGGAUCAAUCCCACAGACGCUGCCCCACCCGUCCGCUCAGCAGUGACCUUGGCUGUUCGGCCCGUAGCAUGUGGGCAUAUGUAUGCGGCCGUGCACGCAUGCGUGCAUUCGUCUGCCUGCUAGUAGAGAAUCUCAUUCCAAACCUAUUGCUCAUUUUAAUUUUGAUUGAUGACUCCGUUUAUCUUUGGAAUAACAAUCCUCUAAUACCCCCCACCACCUCGUCAACACCCUCUGUUUCACCACACCGUAGACCCUGAUUCCUCUCUCCAUCACUCCCCCAGUACAGAAAUUAUAUUAGUAACAAAAUGAGAUUUGAAAUCUUGUGUUUGACAAGCAGCUUGAUGAAAGGGAUUCAUAGCUGGGCUUGAUCCAUGGACAUUUUAUGCUAAUAACACUGCUGGCCAAGCACUCUAGUUGGAAAUUAAUCAGGGGGCUGGACUAAUAGGAGAGGAAAGAGGAGGAGAAGGUGGAUUUCUCCAUAAACAGCCCCCCUCAUUCCCUCUCUCCAGCUCUGAAUCUCAUCAGAAAUAGCCAUGGGGUGUUGUCUAUGUGAUGGGGUAGGGAGAGAAAUGGGGAGUUAGAAAAUUACACUGCUGCUUAGCACUGAUUGAUGCAGUGAUGUAUGCAGUAAUGUAUGCAGCCAUGCAGCGAGCUGCCGCAUCAUGGAUUAGACCUCUCCCCUUCUCAAGCUGUCCCCUUACGCAUCGGAGAGGAAACACACACAUCUUUAGAAACAAAAGCACAAGCACCUCUUUAGUUACGUCUGUAAUUAUCAUAUUCAUCCUGUACAGCCUUUGGUUGUGUCUUUUCUAUAUGUGUCACUUUUUGUCGCAUGUGUGUGGUAAGGUGUGUAUCUAAUGGUGAUUCACCAGACAGCCCCUGAGCAGAUGAGAGUUCUUUUCUCUGUCUCAUCACACUGUCUCACACACACACACACACACACACACACACACACACACACACACACACACACACACACACACACACACACACACACAAGCACUCUUUGUCUCCCCUAGUUAUUCUCUUUCCCACUAAACCCUGGGAGUCAUCAUUACGUUGACUUGCUAAUGAAGUCGUUAUCCGAUUUCACUCGUAUAAUACAACACAAUUAGUACAGAGGCCUUAAUGAUGUUUGCAAGUUAAAUGAAAAGAAUGAGCUUUUCUUGUCUAUUCCUCCGCCUCAUUUACUUUCUCUACGCUUGCUGUUUAGUUGGAAUAAAGAGAGUGAAUUAAUCACUGAAGUGUUUUUGUAGGUGUGUUGGUGACUAUUUCUCAGCCAUGUUACAAGUCAUUGUGAUUUAUUAUUUUUACCCUGAGAGACAUCUGUUACACCAUUCCUUAUUUUUGUAAUGCAUCAACAGCCAGAGGAAAAACAAUAUUAUCCAGUCUGGGAUAUUGUACUCUGGAGUCUAAUAAUCUAAUAUACAACAGAGCUGGCGUCAUUAAAGUGCUCGUGGAGCUGUAGGAAGAUGGUAGGCACUCAUCUGUCUGAAUCCCCACCGGUGAUCGUGUUCCGUCCCACCACCUGCCCCAGCGCCAAUACACACACACCAGAGCAAAACACAUACUAGCUUACUAGUUCUGUUACAGUGGUCAGCCCAAGGCAGGGUGGAGGAAGUCCCCACCAACAGGUCCACGAUGGCACUGCUCAGCUCCGAAAUGGAGGACGCAGAGACUGACCCGGUGGUUUAAACAAAAACCAGUGCUGUCCAAUUGUGUGGGACUGCAACAAAAAAGUGUAUCAUCCGUCAGUUUUCAGUCAUAGAAUCCUUCAGAGGGAGAUUCAGGACGGAGAUUUGGUGCUAUAGAACAUCCUUGGACUAAAUUGUUUACUUGAAGAAAAGAUUUAUUCAUUCAUUUAUUUGUUGAUAGGUGGCAAGCUGUAUUGACGUAUGUUCUUGUGAGUACAUUUGUAUGGAGAGAGAGAGAGAGAGUUUGUAAACAUACAAGACUGUAGAGGGACAACGUGGACAUAUCAUCUCUGAGUACUGAUGGACUAAAGUGGAAAGUCUUGCUGAGGAAGAGUUGUGUGUGUGUGUGAGAAUUAUAAAUAAUGGGUGUUAGUGGCCAGUGGAGACCAGUAGUGGAGGUGGAUGAAGGUCUGAUGGGGAGCUCACCUCCAUCUGUGAUUGAAGUGUGGAGGUGCUGCUCCCGACACGCUUACUUUUACACUCAUUUUCUACUCGGCCAUAAGUGCAGUAAACAGACACAACAGAUCCCCAAGUGCCCUCGCCUGCUCAUCCCGCCCCAGCCUCUCUCCCUGUCAGAAUCAGAGCAUGUCAAUCCCUGGAUUUCACCUUCUUAUGCCAGACCUUGAUUAGCAAUAGAAAACCUCUUAAUCACACGCGCAUAAUGUAUGUCUCAUACAAGGUCCUCUGGAGGGUUACACACAGCACAGACAUUUAACAUGUACAUGUACAUGUCUUUACUACAUAUUAAAUUGUUUUGCUGCAUUUCUCCAGUGUCCUCUUCAUCAUAUAUGUAUAUAUAACGGUUUCUACGAAAAAGAGGAGCAGGUGGAGGUUAUAGAGUCAUCCAUGACGCCAACUACGCAGUAUGUGUAGUUUUGAAACAAAUAUUCACACUGACAAAUAAGGAAGGAAGGUGGUGUGUGUGGGGAUGCCAGUUUUUGGACACCUUGUUAUGACCAUUAUUAGUAAAUCCCACUUCCUCCCCUCAAACUUCCCCCCCUCCAACUCAAAUUGAGGACAGAAAGUUAAAACCGACACUUGGAAAACCACUAGUAUGUAGCCUUUUAUUAACACAAAAUAACCAGCAACCUAAUGUUGUGCCAAAGAAAGGAGGCAAGUGCCCAUCACCUGGCAGGCCCUCGGCAUGUAAAGUCUCACCCCACAGCAGUGACUAAUUGUUUGUUAUGUCAGUGCUUGUCGUGUCCGUUUGCCUUUAAUGGAGUGUAGUGUGGUGAUCCAUCAGGCUGUCGAGCAAGCACCAUGUCAGUUGAAGUGGCUGUGUGUCAGUGGGGCGAGCGUGCCGUGCAAAUGUGAUUUACUGCCCUGCUUGUUACACCGCACUGUGCCUUGCCUCUUACCCGCGCAACGCAGCCCGGCUCCUGUCCUCCACUCGUCUCCCCUUUACUCUUCUUUCUUUUCCCAGAUUGAUUACCGGCACAACUGGCUCACGCGUCACUCGCCAUCUUCUGGCAACCUUCUACUGGUCAGCGCACCUCAUUUGGCUAUUUAUACAUCUAUGAAUCUGCUGGAGGCGGAGGUCCUCACAGGAGCCAGCAGCACAUAACAGCUCGAGACCAGAGGGUCACCAAACGGGACCAACACCUCAAGGCUGCUCAUAGCUAAACCACUGAAAGGAAGCAGGUACCAGCUGGGACAUGUAUCCAUGUUACCCUUCACAUUAAAACCGAACACCUUACAUACAUACAUGAUAUAUUUAGCACGUCAGCAGGGCAGAAAUGUGUGGACUAGAUAGAUAUCUGUAGGAAACACAGGAUGCUCUGUAGAGAGUCACAGCAGCAUACACACACGCUCAAGCACUAAGACCACUGCAAAGACUACAAAACACUGAGGUUGGUUUCUCUACCUUACUGAGAAAGUGCUGUCAUAUAGUUCUCAUAAUUGCUGUGGUCCAAGACAUUGCGCAAGACAGUGGAUUGUGGGUCCAGCUAAUCAGUGGAUUACUUGUGGGGAGCAUCACACUCCAUCCCUUUGAUAUACUGCUACAGUCAUUCUUCAUUGUCAAAUGGGGCUCAAAUGUCUAGAAUAACGUCUUGAACUAGGAGGGAAAGUUCUCAAACAACAGCUCUGCUGUCAGCUUCAUAUCAGUUUUUGUUUUUAAGAAGAUGCUAUUGAAAUUAUAAUGAAGAAAUAAAAAAUACAUUAAAAAAAGUGAUUGAAAGUGAAUGAAUCUGGGUGACAGGCAUAAAGGAGUGAAAGUGAAAGGCUUUUUGCAAAUCAAAAUAGUCUUACACGUUUCAGCUAGAGAAAAGAUUUGUUGAAAAAAAUAUGGUACCAAGAAAGUAGGUGUGCCUGGCUGAAGUAGACCAAAUAUAAGCCUUUUCACACAUCCACUCAAAGCCGUUGAAAGACAAAUGUGUUCAAAGGAUGUGUGUUUGUGUAACAGUUUACAUACAUUUGCUCCUGUGUAUGUUUCAUUUUAGAUGUGUGUUUUUUGUGUAUGUAGCGGUGCAGCACGAGCGGACUUUGUCAGCAGCUCUGCACCAGCGGAGGUGGUGAAGACUGAGCUUCUCCAGAGCAGUGACCCCACAACAACUAAGCACAAAUACACAAGGACUCUUAAUGCCCCGUUCCUCUCACUCCGCACCAUCCGUCUGGGCUGCGUGUGGGCCAGGAGCUCAAUAAGCAGAUCAUUACAGGUUGGUGCCCUUGUGUGAAAUCAGAUGUUUAACUGGCCAUCUGAGUGUUUGACAUGAGCAUCUUAACCAGCACAUUGCCACAGGUCUGAUGUUCACUCAGCCACCAGGGCCGCUGUGAGUGCGCCCGCCACCUGCCAAUAGGCAUUAGGGAGGAUUUAGUAAUUAAGUGAUAGGCUGAGGACUAAAUUGGGUGUUUGCGGGCUGGCGAGCCACCCUAAGGUCCCUACAGCCAUGCAGAUAGGGGAUUCUAAUUGCCAGGAAUAUUGAUCAGCCUGGCGAGGGGGUGCACAGGGAAUUCACAAGCCAUCGAUUAGCUGUUACUGCCCCUCACUUGUCAAUGGAAGAGGGAGGUGAGCAUUGGAAAGGCUUCAGGCUUUUGCCACAUUAUCCAGCACCCCCCACCAGCUCCUGACAGGCCUACACAGUCAGUAUCAAUGACACAGCAGGAUGUGAUGAAAGUACUCUCUGAACUUCUCUGUAGCUCCUCCAUAUCUUUAAACCGCCAUCAUUCUCUUUCAGGCAGUCCAUAGGUGAAACUGUGAGCAGGAGAAGGGCCUGCUGUAACUCUACAAGUGAGGAAGUGCUUUCUUUCCUCCCAAAGUCUCACUUCCACCCUAAUUAAUGUUGGAUGGAGAGGGGGGUAUUGAGAGGGGGUAUUGCGAUUGUCUGCCAUCUAAUAUUUAAUUUAUUGCUUCACCUUGGUUUGGCAUCGUACUCAAAGGGGCCUUUGAAAAGAACCUAUAGGCUAUUUGCAUGGAUGCUCUUUGCAUCAACAAGACAUGGUUUGUGUUAUUCAUUAUGUUUGUAUAGUUGACUCAGUUUACUUUUCUCUACCUUCUCAGCUGGUGUUUCAUAUCCUCGCCGAAGUGAAUUGCACAAGCAGAGAAAAGGCUUUGUGCACAGCAGUGUCUAACUUGAGUCAUUUAGAGCCCAUUACAAAAGAUCAAUAUAUUGAUUGAAGCAAGUGUCCCAGUGUACUGCUCUGUAAACACAUGGUCGUUCUGUCUUGCAUGUUUUAUCUGCCUGAAUCUUAUCGGGUUUAAAUCUUUUCAUCUUUAAUUCACUUAAUCCUGGCACUAUCGGCUUUUGAGCCAGAGCUUCUACUCCCUCUACCCGGGUUUGUUUGCCUAAUUCUUGACAACAAAACGGAAUAUAACAACAAUAUAAAAGACAUAAUGCUAAUAAUAUUUUUCACACAUGUUUAAAGGCUCUGCAGAUAUGUUUGAUAGUGCCAUCCUUAAACUAUAAAUGCUCACGGUUUUGCAAGCUCCUUUCUACUUUGAAUAGGAACUUUCCACAAAUGGCGAAGUCUGUUCUGCGUUUAAGAGCAAACUGAAGACUGCCUCUUGUACCAUAAAACAAUCCAAUUAGCAGAAGAAACCAGAAGAUUGGAAGCAGAUUGACUGGUGCAUACAGCCAUGUCCAAAUAUAAUUACAAAAACAAUCUUAAACUUUUAGCAUGUACCCCCAACAGAUUUUAACUGGAAUUACAAAGCUUCUGUUGAAACACCGUCUGACAAAAAGUCAUAGUAUGGUGCGUCAUACAUUAUGGUGUCAUGUCCCUCGCUGCUUUAAGGUUUUUCUUUUAUGUUCGUGCAUAGUUGUUGUUUUUUUCUUACUCCCAUUUGCUCUCGUUUCACUCACUUCACCAUUAUGUGCCCCUCCAGAUUAGUUUGAGUUGUACAAAUAAGUUAUCAAAAAAGUGUUAUUAUAGUACCACAAAACUCCUACAAAGUCUUAUUAUUGUAUAGUACGAAAAGUUUAGACGAGUGUCAAAAAGGUCAUUAAAAAGGACUAGCAGUGUAAAAUAUGUAAAAGUAGAAAAAACAUUCUAGCUUAAUAGGAAAUGGAAAUAGGAAAUAAUGUGUUAGCUGAUUUGUUGAUAUUUAGUAGGAUAAGAAUCGGGAUUUUACAUUUUUUUCCCAUUUAAGAGUCAUGAUUUCCAAGGUCAUCUUGUUGUCACUGAAGCGGGAUUGUUUCCCUAUGCUUCUCUUUUGAUUGAAGCUUCACUAUAACAUUUAUACGCCACUCAGCGUCACCCUCCAGCCAUGCCCACAAAUUGAAUUAGUUUCAGUUGGAAUUUGUGUUUCAAAUCCAGUAAUUAUUUUGGAACCCCAGCGGACGCCAAGAGAAAUGAGUCAGAUCUUCACAAGUCAUGAAAUUUGACGAUAUAUGAAUUUACACCAACCAAAGGGACACAAGCCUGAAGCACAGCAAUUUACCAAGCAUUCAUCUGUCAGCAAAUUAAAUUACACCACAUGUGAAAUCUUUCAGAAAGUUUCAUAAAUCUGAUGAAAAAGUUUCUCUCCCAAUUACCAUGUGAAAUUAAUCUCCUUAAUCCCAAUUUGAUCUCUUUCAUGCGUAUAGGGGGUAUCUUUCAUCUGCCCACCUAUGUGCUUCAAAUCUCUUCCACAGAAUUAAGAGAGAACUUGGUCCUCCGUGAAACAACACACAUAAAACUCUGUGUAGAUAAACAAAUGGGAUAAGAAACAUUAAAAAAUAAAGAUCAAUUUGCCAAAUGAUGGAAGAAUGGCAGGAGAUGCCUUAGCACCAAAACACAUGAUCAGUCUAAAGACCAUUUGCAGACAUUGUGAGCAGCGAAUUCCGAAAAUGCACUCUUUGUUGCCCAAAACUGUUCCCAGCAUUCGAGUAGACCGGACAGUAGUUGAUUCAGAUCAGACCGACACAGAAGUCCUCCCCUCUGACCCGGCUAUGACCCAAAAGCCCUGAGCAACGCUAUGAUGUAAUGCGCUACAACACAUAUGUCGAACUCGGGGCGUCUAGUGCGGCCCGCCUGACUUUGCUAUUGUGAGAAAUACAGAAAGAUCUCCACACAUGCGCGGUCGCUUCUGACAGAGGAGAGGCUCGUCGUGUCUCCUUAUUGAUUGGUUUUGCACGUCUCAUCUCCUUUCUUAACAGUGGGUAUUAGUUCAAGAUAGCCAGAGCGAUGUUCUUUAUACCCUAAUCUGGAUCUUUGACUCGACCACUCAGCCUUUUUCUCAGAAAGAAUCACAACCUCCACAAUAAUUCUACACAAGUUCAGAUUCUAAUGUGAGGAAAAGGGGAGAUGUUGAUUUGCACUCUCUCUGUAUUCCUAAAGCUGAUUAGAUAUAAAAAAAAAAGUAUAUUUCUUCAUUAAAGGCCUGGAUUUUCAUUAGGAUUUAAUGCUUUUUAGCUUAUUAGCAACACCCAGACCUCAAUAAUUUAACAUUGUAUAGGUAUUUUUCUUAAUUGUAUAUUUGUUUUGGUGUGGCGCUCCAGGUGUACACAUUGUUUCUGGCUCCUUGCUCUACUGUGCCAUUAUUCUAAUUGAUGUGUGUGACUGUACAUGCAUGAUUGCAUACAUGUGUAUGUCUGUGUAUGUAUGUUUGUGUGUGUGUGUGUGUGUACUAACUCCUGAGCCAAAAGCACAUCUGUGGCUCAUCUCUGCAGCCUGGCGUCAGCCUCCUUAAGUGCUGUCAAUGUCACAUGGUAACAGCAGCACAGCAAUCUCUUAAUUGGUUUAGGAAAAGCAUCCUUGUCAUUUUGCGGUCAGUAAACUCUGCUGAAGAAAAUGAAGUCCGAGCUGCUGCCGCCAUCUCCUCAACCCCCACACAGCCGGCCCAACAAAAAAACAAUCAUUAUGUGCCGUGUAUAUUUGUGCGUUCGCUGUCUGUUUUCACUUUAUGCUUUCAGAAAUAAUUGCUGCUGGUUGUGCGGCUGCAUUAGAGAGGGGGCAUUAAUGAUUCUCACUGGCGGCGAGAAAACACUGCUUUGUAAAGGGCGGGUUUUCUAGAACUAAACGCGUGUGUAUUUGUGCCUGAAUGUGUUUGUGUUUGGUAAUGUAUUUUUAGUCGCGUCCUCAUUUUGUUGUGCAGUACAUAUGCAGCCUAUCACAAAUACGCCAGCAGUGAGUGCAGAAAUGUGUGUAUCUCUGAAUCUCUUUACUAAAUGCGUGCACGUGCGUGUGUGUGUGUGUGUGUGUGUGUGUGUGUGUGUGUGUGUUAAAUGUAUGUGCAUAGCAGUCCUUUUUGCACGGAUUAGCCGGUGAAUCCUGCAAGAGGGCGAUCAGACUGGGAGCACACCAGGGUUGCUCUGCGAUCACAAAAGGAUUAUAAGGGAUGUGGAGCCGCGGUGCAUUCCAGGGCCGCCUCCAGUCAGGCUCAUCUCCGCCACGCUCCCCUCACACACACCACUUUAAUUGCCUUUGGUUCUUUCAUUACUUUUAUUGCCUCUCCUCUGCAUUGCGGGCUCCCUGGGCUUGUGGAAAGGUCACUGUGACGGGGGUGAUGGUGGUGUGCUCAUAGCCGUGGUCUCCCUGACUAGCAGGAAAUGGCUGUGGGGCUGACGCUGGAGGAAUGAGACACACAGCGAGGUAGGAACCGAGAGGCGAGUUUUAAUCUUAAAGACAAAUUCAUCUUUUCAAAAUGUCGGUAAAAUAAGACACCAGAAUUUUUGAAAGCCGCCAAACUCGUCAUUCUCAUCUCGUCGUGCCUCACUGGGAGGGAUACAGAUAAUCGAUCUUCACUCUGACUAUCUAUUGAGGGUGAUGUGAAGUUAGGCGAAUGCAUAAUCGUUGCAUAAUAAAAGCGCUUUUAUUACAUGACAGAUUGUGGGCCUAGCAUUAGUGAUAUCCAGACAUGGAACAGUGAAGAGUUGGCAGCGCUUGGAUGAGGGACAUGUUGCCGUAUUAUCGCAUCAUCUGUGCACAAAGGGCAGUAGUAGUGUUAGCAGCAUCCAAUAACAGUUUGCAUUGUAGUAAAAUGUGUUACCUUCCUAAUAAAUACAUAUAGAGAUUCCAUCAUACUUACUAUAUGUUGGAUUACUUUUUACUUCAUGAUUGAGUUUGUAAAAACAGAAUGACAUUAUGUCGUAUAUAUGGGAUAUUCAAAAUAUAACCAUUUCUCAUAUCUGCAUUUUACUCACUCUGUCUUCCUUUGACUCUGUCGCAGUCCCAGGUGCAGGUUUUGUGUUCGGUUCCAAGGCUCUUGUGUCUACAAGAUGCUCUCCUCUGUCAACCAGUUGUUCUUUAAACGCACACAGGAAUCCAUCUGGAGGAGGGAGACUCGGCAAAUUGAGGUCAGGAGACUUAAAGCUGAGCUUGAUGACUGUAGGAUUGAAGAGGAGGAGGUUCAGCUACAGCAGCUAACCUGCUCCGUGCCCCGGUUCAGACGGCACAAGAAGUCCAUGUGAUUGGCUGAUGGCACCAACAACGUACGUGUGAGGCGUCAUCACACUGGGUAUUGAAAUACUGCGAUGAAUAGGAAAUGUUUCUGGUUGAUUGGAGAACUUUGAGAACUAGACUUGUUUGAUUUACGAGGACACUAGAGAGUAUUGCACUUCCAUAAAGUUGCAGGACUGAGCAAAGAAAAACGCAUCUUUUAGUCCCUAAGCUCCAAAAACACUGAAUCCUACUUUUCGCAUUAUGCAGCGACAGCAUCUUUUAUUAAACGACUGAUGAUCAGAUGAUCAGAUUUGGAUGCUACUUUGAUAAAGCAGAACCCACCUUUCAAUUCCCAGGAACAGAUAUAUUUGCUUUAUUAAUGAUAAGCACCUAGAAAGGAUGAUUUAUUACAACCCAACACGUUUUCAGGUCUGUAUUCUUACUUCACUAUUUGUACAGGUUUUUUUCUUUUGUUUAGCAGGGGUCUUUAUCUAACAGAUAUUUUUUUGUUAUGAGCUUUUUUGGCCAUAUGUGAAUUGUACUAUAAAACUUGGACUACUUGUAAUCAAAAAUGUUUCUGCAUCAUAUUUAACUCUACCAUAUCAAUGUAAAACGCUUUCAGGAAUAAUUCAAUUCCGUACCUCUUUAUCUUUCAGUAAUCACAUCAGAGCUUUGAUUUCACUAGUUUUUAGCACAUGCAAGUGGAAUACAGGAGAGUUCAAAUGAAUUUUGAUCGAUUUCUAGUGACUAAGCUUCUGUAUGAUGAUUUCACAACAAAGGAAAAGAUGAGUGCUUUUGGAUGUGUUUUGAGUCACAGAGCAACUGUUCCUAGAGCCACAGACCCCACAAGCCACUGCAGCCAAAUCUUAAUGAGUACGGGCAGAUGGACAAGAAACUGCAGCCAAAUACAAAAAAUAAUAAAGGCAUCUAAACCCUAACAA